RNAcentral lists this ribosomal RNA (134 nucleotides) under Mytilus edulis (blue mussel). RNAcentral's name for it is "partial 16S ribosomal RNA". The record is from RNAcentral. Lineage: Eukaryota; Metazoa; Mollusca; Bivalvia; Mytilida; Mytilidae.
CAGUUUCUAUCCUCUUUUUGAAAUGAGCUAAUUUUGUACGAAAGGACUUUUUCGCUAAAGCAAUGCUUUGUCACAAAUCUGUGGUUGCAUAAAUAAUAGGGUGUAAUAGGUUGAUUAGCCUAUAGGAAGGGUUA